AUUGAACGCUGGCGGCAGGCCUAACACAUGCAAGUCGAGCGGAUGAAGGGAGCUUGCUCCUGGAUUCAGCGGCGGACGGGUGAGUAAUGCCUAGGAAUCGGCCUGGUAGUGGGGGAUAACGUCCGGAAACGGGCGCUAAUACCGCAUACGUCCUGAGGGAGAAAGUGGGGGAUCUUCGGACCUCACGCUAUCAGAUGAGCCUAGGUCGGAUUAGCUAGUUGGUGGGGUAAAGGCCUACCAAGCCGACGAUCCGUAACUGGUCUGAGAGGAUGAUCAGUCACACUGGAACUGAGACACGGUCCAGACUCCUACGGGAGGCAGCAGUGGGGAAUAUUGGACAAUGGGCGAAAGCCUGAUCCAGCCAUGCCGCGUGUGUGAAGAAGGUCUUCGGAUUGUAAAGCACUUUAAGUUGGGAGGAAGGGCAGUAAGUUAAUACCUUGCUGUUUUGACGUUACCAACAGAAUAAGCACCGGCUAACUUCGUG
Molecule: ribosomal RNA, 484 nt
Filed under: uncultured bacterium
Lineage: Bacteria
Description: partial 16S ribosomal RNA
Rfam family: Bacterial small subunit ribosomal RNA
Source: RNAcentral